UACGUAGGGUGCGAGCGUUGAUCGGAAUUACUGGGCGUAAAGCGUGCGCAGGCGGUUCGUUGUGUCGGCGGUGAAAGCCCCGGGCUUAACCUGGGAACGGCCGUUGAAACUGGCGAACUGGAGUGUGGCAGAGGGGGGUGGAAUUCCGCGUGUAGCAGUGAAAUGCGUAGAGAUGCGGAGGAACACCGAUGGCGAAGGCAGCCCCCUGGGCUAACACUGACGCUCAUGCACGAAAGCGUGGGGAGCAAACAGG
Molecule: ribosomal RNA, 253 nt
Filed under: uncultured bacterium
Lineage: Bacteria
Description: partial 16S ribosomal RNA
Rfam family: Bacterial small subunit ribosomal RNA
Source: RNAcentral